GGGGAUGUAUUUGGUUUCGACAGUAAUUUAGAAGUAUAAAUAGCGAGUAGUGGACGCACCAGGCCACUUAAAAAGGUGCAAUUAAUAAUAAACGCUAAUAACGAAGAAUUAGCUUACGCUGCCUAAGUUGCGGCGUCGUCCUUUUCUAGAACCUACGGCUAGAAAUAGGGCGUCAAAUUAGUAGGAAACAAAGCAAAUUGUUGCUCUUGCAAUUUGUGGGUAUUUACAAGAGCUACUUUUUCUAAAAUAUGUUUGUUUAUGUUAGAAAAGGGAAUUUAAAGAACAAACUGCACUCGGAGAAGUUUAUGUGGAAGAAUUAUUGGACCGGAGUUCGACUCUCCGCAUCUCCACCA
This 353-nucleotide transfer-messenger RNA is filed under the name chicken gut metagenome. It matches the Rfam family "transfer-messenger RNA". Rfam says of the family: Bacterial tmRNA, also known as 10Sa RNA or SsrA, is named for its dual tRNA and mRNA-like properties. Its role is to liberate the mRNA from a stalled ribosome. To accomplish this part of the tmRNA is used as a reading frame that ends in a translation stop signal. The record is from RNAcentral.